RNAcentral lists this ribosomal RNA (440 nucleotides) under uncultured bacterium. Its description in RNAcentral is "partial 16S ribosomal RNA". It matches the Rfam family "Bacterial small subunit ribosomal RNA", at positions 338 to 795 of the family's 1533-position model. The record is from RNAcentral.
CCUACGGGUGGCAGCAGUAGGGAAUAUUGCUCAAUGGGGGAAACCCUGAAGCAGCAAAGCCGCGUGGAGGAUGACGGUUUUCGGAUUGUAAACUCCUUUUGUUAGAGAAGAUAAUGACGGUAUCUAACGAAUAAGCAACGGCUAAAUCCGUGCAAGCAGCAGCGGUAAUACGGCGGGUGCAAGCGUUACUCGGAACCACUGGGCGUAAAGAGCGCGUAGGCGGGAUAGCAAGUCAGAUGUGAAAUCCUAUGGCUUAACCAUAGAACUGCAUUUGAAACUGUUAUUCUAGAGUAUGGGAGAGGGAGGUGGAAGUCUUUGUAUAGGGGUAAAAUCCGUAGAGAUCAAGAGGAAUACUCAUUGCGAAGGCGACCUGCUAGAACAUAACUGACGCUGAUGCGCGAAAGCGUGGGGAGCAAACAGGAUUAGAUACCCCUGUAGUC